GAUGAACGCUGGCGGCGUGCCUAAUACAUGCAAGUCGAGCGAACGGACGAGAAGCUUGCUUCUCUGAUGUUAGCGGCGGACGGGUGAGUAACACGUGGAUAACCUACCUAUAAGACUGGGAUAACUUCGGGAAACCGGAGCUAAUACCGGAUAAUAUUUUGAACCGCAUGGUUCAAAAGUGAAAGACGGUCUUGCUGUCACCUAUAGAUGGAUCCGCGCUGCAUUAGCUAGUUGGUAAGGUAACGGCUUACCAAGGCAACGAUGCAUAGCCGACCUGAGAGGGUGAUCGGCCACACUGGAACUGAGACACGGUCCAGACUCCUACGGGAGGCAGCAGUAGGGAAUCUUCCGCAAUGGGCGAAAGCCUGACGGAGCAACGCCGCGUGAGUGAUGAAGGUCUUCGGAUCGUAAAACUCUGUUAUUAGGGAAGAACAUAUGUGUAAGUAACUGUGCACAUCUUGACGGUACCUAAUCAGAAAGCCACGGCUAACCACGUG
This 497-nucleotide ribosomal RNA is filed under the name uncultured bacterium. Its description in RNAcentral is "partial 16S ribosomal RNA". It matches the Rfam family "Bacterial small subunit ribosomal RNA", at positions 28 to 507 of the family's 1533-position model. The record is from RNAcentral.